AAUCGAAGUAGAGUAAAUGGUGAACUCAUUAGACUCAUGUUCUAAAGUUAUUGGUUCAAAUCCAAUCUUCGUA
Molecule: transfer RNA, 73 nt
Filed under: Montagnia macrospora
Lineage: Eukaryota; Rhodophyta; Florideophyceae; Batrachospermales; Batrachospermaceae
Description: tRNA-Met
Rfam family: tRNA
About the family: Transfer RNA (tRNA) molecules are approximately 80 nucleotides in length.
Source: RNAcentral